AGUGAACGCUGGCGGUAGGCCUAACACAUGCAAGUCGAACGGCAGCACAGGAGAGCUUGCUCUCUGGGUGGCGAGUGGCGGACGGGUGAGGAAUACAUCGGAAUCUGCCCAGUCGUGGGGGAUAACGUAGGGAGACUUACGCUAAUACCGCAUACGACCUUCGGGUGAAAGAGGGGGAUCGCAAGACCUCUCGCGAUUGGAUGAGCCGAUGUCGGAUUAGCUAGUUGGCGGGGUAAUGGCCCACCAAGGCGACGAUCCGUAGCUGGUCUGAGAGGAUGAUCAGCCACACUGGAACUGAGACACGGUCCAGACUCCUACGGGAGGCAGCAGUGGGGAAUAUUGGACAAUGGGCGCAAGCCUGAUCCAGCCAUACCGCGUGGGUGAAGAAGGCCUUCGGGUUGUAAAGCCCUUUUGUUGGGAAAGAAAUCUUUCAGGCUAAUACCCUGGGAGGAUGACGGUACCCAAAGAAUAAGCACCGGCUAACUUCGUG
Molecule: ribosomal RNA, 490 nt
Filed under: uncultured bacterium
Lineage: Bacteria
Description: partial 16S ribosomal RNA
Rfam family: Bacterial small subunit ribosomal RNA
Source: RNAcentral